This 403-nucleotide ribosomal RNA is filed under the name uncultured bacterium. RNAcentral describes it as "bacterial SSU rRNA". It matches the Rfam family "Bacterial small subunit ribosomal RNA", at positions 355 to 774 of the family's 1533-position model. The record is from RNAcentral.
UGAGGAAUAUUGCACAAUGGGCGCAAGCCUGAUGCAGCAACGCCGCGUGCGGGACGAAGGCCUUCGGGUCGUAAACCGCUUUUCUGGGGGAAGAGCAAGGACGGUACCUCAGGAAUAAGUCUCGGCUAACUACGUGCCAGCAGCCGCGGUAAAACGUAGGAGGCGAGCGUUAUCCGGAUUUACUGGGCGUAAAGCGCACGCAGGCGGCUCUGUUAGUCGGACGUGAAAGCUCUCGGCUUAACCGGGAGAGGCCGUUCGAUACUGCGGGGCUUGGGGUAGGGAGAGGAAUGCGGAAUUCCCGGUGUAGUGGUGGAAUGCGUAGAUAUCGGGAGGAACACCUGUGGCGAAAGCGGCAUUCGGGCCCUCACCUGACGCUGAGGUGCGAAAGCGUGGGUAGCAAACA